CCUACGGGAGGCAGCAGUGGGGAAUAUUGCACAAUGGGGGGAACCCUGAUGCAGCGACGCCGCGUGAGUGAAGAAGUAUUUCGGUAUGUAAAGCUCUAUCAGCAGGGAAGAAAAUGACGGUACCUGACUAAGAAGCCCCGGCUAACUACGUGCCAGCAGCCGCGGUAAUACGUAGGGGGCAAGCGUUAUCCGGAUUUACUGGGUUUAAAGGGAGCGUAGACGGCAGUGCAAGCCAGAUGUGAAAGCCCGCGGCCCAACCGCGGGACUGCAUUUGAAACUGUCCGGCUAGAGUGCGGGAGAGGUAAGCGGAAUGCCUAGUGUAGCGGUGAAAUGCGUAGAUAUUAGGAGGAACACCAGGGGUGAAGGCGGCUUGCUGGACAAUAACUGACGUUGAGGCUCGAAAGCGUGGGGAGCAAACAGGAUUAGAUACCCUAGUAGUC
This 440-nucleotide ribosomal RNA is filed under the name uncultured bacterium. RNAcentral's name for it is "partial 16S ribosomal RNA". It matches the Rfam family "Bacterial small subunit ribosomal RNA", at positions 338 to 795 of the family's 1533-position model. The record is from RNAcentral.